GUGUAAUUACCAGUCUUGCCUCCCCACAAAGUCUGUAGGUUUGUGCUGUGUUUGUAUGUGUGAUCUGAGCGCCAUCCGGUGGACAGACGACAUUUUUAUUUGAUACUCGCGCCAUUUUUGCGUUGAGUAUGGGCGCAACCAAGUGCAUAAUUGGAGGGGGGCACUCACCCAUUUUCCUUAACAAACGGAAAUAUAUUAAAAACGAGUAGACGUAAAUAAAUAGAAUAGAUGAAAAGACAGAUCAGUUUGCAAGGUUCAUUAAAGGGGGACAUAUAGAAAACAUUUUCUACUGUAUAUUGGGAGGGAAAGAUUGGUAUCACCUCAACAUUGGCGGGGACACGCCCCCCCAAAAGAAUACGUGGUUACGCCCAUAGUUGUAGGAGACACAGCAGCGACGGAGUCGGAGUAGGAGACACAUUUUUCCUCAGGAGUCACGACACAGCAGACACGGGGUUUUCUUUCUUCAAUUUUAACUUUUCUCAGGAGUUUAAGACAUCAUGGCUGGAAAUGCACAGCAGGGCAACCAACAGGCUGUACCACAAGACGUGGUGGCGAGACGAGCGUCCCUGCAGACUUUAAUUGAUGAUGCAUUGCAGGAGCUUCAGAACGUUGUCGAAGGACGGGAUUAAGACAGGUGAGCUGCAUGAUGCUCAUCAUCGAAUGAUCGUUGAGCAUAAGGUACUACACUGAAAUACCCUCCGGUCAGAAUAACUCUUCUGCACUGUAGCAUUGUAGAUAGAAGUUGUUUUAGUUUCAGAUGGUGUUGUAACCCUCAGGUUCGAGUUUAAAGCAGAAGCAGCAUUACAGGAACUUGUCAUUAAUGUCUCACUGUGACCCGAAAGCUGCUUGUUGGAUGUUUAAUGUAAGAUUAGAAAGUUCAGCUGGUUUAUCUCCUUUCAAGUGUGUGUAAAAGAGAACCUGGCUGUGUCCUUGCAGUGUGUGAUUUCUAUUUCGUCUGUCUUUUCAGAAGGAGGUGGAAGAGAGGUGUUUGUUGUUGUUGUUAAAUAAAUGGUUUCUUUAAAUAACCAACACCUGCCUGACUGUACGAGUUAUUUACAUGAACCAGCCGCAGGAACGUCUUGCUAUAAGGGAUGUGAACGUGAUAAUAUCUUUUUGUACAGAGCAUAAUGGAACUGAGGCAUCAGGAAUCCCAAAUAUAGCAAUGAAUGGGCAAGGUUUUAAAUCUACUCUGAGAAUAGUGGACAUGACAGUAAAGAAACCAGUCCAAAAACCAUGGAGAUCAGGGCAAAAGAAAAACAUAUGGCCAAGAUGACAGGGAGAGCCAUGGCAUUUAUCAGACUUGUCCUCUACUUCUGGAUAUAUUACAGAAAGUCUCGACUUAGACAAAUGGAUUCUGUGAAAAACUUUGAACUGGAUGAGUCCAAGACGAGCACAGGAAGUGGUAGACUGUAUCCUACCUAUAGCACAUUCCCAACACUUUUCACUUAUCUGUACUCCUAACUCCAUUUCCCACGCAUUCUUAAUUUUGGUACUCACCUCACUACCUAACGCCAGAAUAAAAUCAUAAAUCUUAGAUAUCAUUCCUCUCUGAUGUGGAUUGAAGCCACUCAACCCUGUCAAAUGCUUUUUCAGCAUUAAAGAAAUCCCAAUAUCAGUCGAAUGCUUUGAAUAAAUGGUAUUAAAGAGUGUACAGUAGGGAUCUCAAACUCAAUUUACCUGGGGGCCGCUGGAGGUAGAGUAUGGGUGAAGCUGGGCCGCAUCAAGUAUUCCACAAAAAAAGGAUUUCAAGUAUUCCAAAAACAGUACAACCGAUCCAAUCUUCUUUAUCUUUAGUAAUAACUAUUCAGAACAUGCAGAACAUGAACGGCUCUUCAGAACAUAGGUUUCUCUUACUUCCUCCUACUCCUUGCUGCCAGAGACUUGGCAGCGCUUCCUCUUACACAGCUGAGCCACAUUUGGCUUGAGGGAGGAAGCAACUGAGACCCUCAGUAUGGCUCGAAGAUGCUCAUCUGUAAGUCUGGACCUGAACUUUGAUUUAUUAAAGUUCAUAGUGGAGAACACCUUUUCGCACAGAUAGGUGCUCCCAAAAAGGCACAUGAUUCGCUUGAACAUCUUGGAAAGCUCAGGGAACGUGGGGGGCAAUUCUCUCAUAAAUUGUCCAAGCUUGUCUGUUUUUCCACUCACCUCCCUGAACUUGGCUAUGAGUUCAGAACUGCAAUGCAGGUCAAUUAGCUCCAACUGAACCACAGGGGGGCAUCUUCCACAUCGAAGGAGAAGGGGUCAGCAAAAAAUUGAAACGUGGCUCUGUGUGUCUUGAAGUCUGCAAACCUGUGAUCAAAUUCUUCCUGUAGCUUUAGAAUGGUAUCAGCAUACUUCUCACCACUGAAUGGUGUGCCUGAAUCCAUGAGCGCCUUGCAUGCUGGGAAAUGGCAGAGGUUUGUCUGAGAAAGCUGGGCUUUCCAUAACACAAGUUUUGUGGAGAAUGACAAGCUGGCCCUGGCCUUGUAACUUCUUGCUCAGUACAUUCAGCUCCUGUGUGAUGUCAACAAGAAAAGCUAAGUCCAUUAGCCAUUUGGGAUCACUUAAUACAGGAACAGCCAUCCCAUCCUUAUCCAUGAAGGCUUUCACUUCUGCUCUCAACUCAAAAAACCUCUUCAAGACGUCCCCCCUGCUAAGCCAACGUACCUCGGUGAAGUAGAGCACAUCCUCAUAUGCUGACUCUAUUUCCUCCAAAAAGGUGCGGAACUGCCGGUGCUUUAAGCCCCUGGAUCUGAUAUGGUUGAUGCAUUUCACAACGUCAGACAUCACAUUGUCAAACUUAAGGCAUUUGCUGCAAAGGGCCUGCUGAUGGAUAAUGCAGUGCAAAGCAAUGGCCUCUUCCACACCCUCCUCUUCCAGUUUUCUUUGAACAAGUGCCACCAGUCCAUUUCUCCUCCCUGUCAUUGAUGGUGCUCCGUCGGUUGUUAUUCCAGCAAAACUCUUCCAUAGUAAGCCGGCAUCCACAAUGGCAUCACACAGCUGGUGGAAUAUCUCCUGACCGGUGGUCUGGCCAUGCAUUGGAAUUAUUGUGAGCAAAUCCUCCAUCACUUCAAAAUUGUCAUCAACACCACGGAAAUAUAUUGCGAGCUGCGCAGUGUCAGUGACGUCUGUGCUCUCAUCAAGAGCGACUGAGUAUGAAUGGAAAUGUCUAGCUUUCUCACGCAGUUGAUCUUAAACGUUAUCCGACAGGUCAGAAAUUAGCUCUGCCACUGUGUUGGCUGAAAGGUUGAUGUUGCU
Long non-coding RNA from Ictalurus punctatus (channel catfish), 3237 nucleotides. The record is from Ensembl. Lineage: Eukaryota; Metazoa; Chordata; Actinopteri; Siluriformes; Ictaluridae.